GGCGCGGUGGCCUGGUGGUUAGCGCGUUGGACUCCGGAUCGAGUGGUCUGGGUUCGAGCGUAGCCUGAUUCUCAGACGGUCCG
Non-coding RNA from Desmophyllum pertusum, 83 nucleotides. NCBI's taxonomy places the organism in Eukaryota, Metazoa, Cnidaria, Anthozoa, Scleractinia, Caryophylliidae. The record is from the annotation of a GenBank genome assembly.